AAGUCGUAACAAGGUUUCCGUAGGUGAACCUGCGGAAGGAUCAUUCAUAAUUGAGUGUUUUAUGGCACUCUUUAAAAAAAUCCAUAUCCACCUUGUGUGCAACGUUUUUGAACUCUCUGGCAUUAAAAAGCCAAGAGGGUUUGAUUAACUUAACACCUUUAAAGCAGUUUGUCUGAAUAUCUAUUUCUGAAUAAACAUAAUUCAAAAAUACAACUUUCAACAACGGAUCUCUUGGCUCUG
RNAcentral lists this unclassified non-coding RNA (240 nucleotides) under Mortierella sp. RNAcentral describes it as "partial internal transcribed spacer region". The stretch from base 1 to 46 matches the Rfam family "Eukaryotic small subunit ribosomal RNA", at positions 1786 to 1831 of the family's 1831-position model. The record is from RNAcentral. Lineage: Eukaryota; Fungi; Mortierellomycota; Mortierellomycetes; Mortierellales; Mortierellaceae.